CUCACAGAAAGUGGCUAGACCAGUGUAAAGUCAGUACAAUAAAAAUUUAAUUUUAAUUUUAUGAUCAGAGGUAUUAUAACAAUAACAUGCUACUAAAAGGAUAAAAGCUUGAAGCGAAUUUACAUGAGGCAGUGAUUAAUUUUAGAAACUAACGUAAGUUGGGUUUUGUAGAUAAUAAAAGAUCUGACAAAAAACGUGCCAGCCGUCGCGGUUAGACGUGGGGUUCAAUUAGAUCUGAGUGAGAAAAAGGGAAAUAUAAGCUAAAGAAAAUUAUUUAUUUUUGAUAUUAGUGGAAUAAUAAUUAAAAGAGUUUUAAUUUUGUUUUGAUAUCCUUAAAAAAGCUGAAUUCAAAUGGGGAUUAGAUACCCUCGUAUGCAGCUAUAAAAUUUUGUUUAUGGUAGUAACAGGUAAAGACUUGAAACUAAAAAAAAAUGGCGGUAAUGCAGGCCAUUCAGAGGAAUCUGUUCCGUAAAUGAUGAUCCGCGAGUACGCUACUAUUGUUGAAGUUUGUAUACCGUUGUUUUCAGAAAAUCACUUUAAGGGAAAAUUUUCAAUAAUGAGCUAACCCAAAGAAAUCAAAUCAAGGUGCAGCCUAUACAUUAGAGGUGAAUGGAUUACAUUGAAUAAAAUUAAAACGAAAUUAUUCUUGCAAAAAAUUAAAGAAGGUGGAUUUGAAUGUAAAAAUUUUUUAGAAAUAAAAUUUGAGUCAGGCUCUGUGUUAUGCACACAUCGCCCGUCACUCUCAAACAAUUAUUGAGAUAAGUCGUAACAAAGUAGAAGUACCGGAAGGUGUUUCUAGAAAGUAUUA
Molecule: non-coding RNA, 808 nt
Filed under: Paratimomenus flavocapitatus
Lineage: Eukaryota; Metazoa; Arthropoda; Insecta; Dermaptera; Forficulidae
Description: 12S ribosomal RNA
Rfam family: Microsporidia small subunit ribosomal RNA (bases 396-798)
Source: RNAcentral